CCCUUAGAUGUCCUGGGCCGCACGCGCGCUACACUGAACGGAUCAGCGCGUUUUCCCUUCCCGAGAGGGACGGGUAACCUGCUGAACCCCGUUCGUGGUAGGGAUCGGGGCUUGCAAUUAUUCCCCGUGAACCAGGAAUGCCCAGUAAGUGCAAGUCAUAAGCUUGCGUUGAUUACGUCCCUGCCCUUUGUACACACCGCCCGUCGCUACUACCGGUUGAACGUUUUAGUGAGGUACUCGGACUGAGCCUCAGAAGAUUCACGUCUUUUGUGCUGCUCGGGAAGAUUCCCAAACUUGAGCGUUUAGAGGAAGUAAAAGUCGUAACA
This 326-nucleotide ribosomal RNA is filed under the name uncultured eukaryote. RNAcentral's name for it is "partial 18S ribosomal RNA". It matches the Rfam family "Eukaryotic small subunit ribosomal RNA", at positions 1470 to 1796 of the family's 1831-position model. The record is from RNAcentral.